Molecule: transfer RNA, 89 nt
Filed under: Sphingomonas bisphenolicum
Lineage: Bacteria; Pseudomonadati; Pseudomonadota; Alphaproteobacteria; Sphingomonadales; Sphingomonadaceae
Description: tRNA-Cys
Source: RNAcentral
UCGGCUGGUGGUGCGCGAACCGGCGCGGCCGGUGCAGGCGGCCGAUGCGGUGCCGGUGUCGGCGGUGUUCGGCAUAUUGGCGGCCAAGC